RNAcentral lists this ribosomal RNA (253 nucleotides) under uncultured bacterium. RNAcentral describes it as "partial 16S ribosomal RNA". It matches the Rfam family "Bacterial small subunit ribosomal RNA", at positions 524 to 776 of the family's 1533-position model. The record is from RNAcentral.
UACGUAGGGCGCAAGCGUUGUCCGGAAUUAUUGGGCGUAAAGAGCUCGUAGGUGGCGUGUCGCGUCUGCCGUGAAAGCCCAUGGCUUAACUGUGGGUCUGCGGUGGAUACGGGCAGGCUAGAGGCUGGUAGGGGCAAGCGGAAUUCCUGGUGUAGCGGUGAAAUGCGUUGAUAUCAGGAGGAACACCAAUGGCGAAGGCAGCUCACUGGGACGGUAUUGACGCUGAGACGCGAAAGCGUGGGGAGCAAACAGG